GUCCUAUUCUUGAAUUCUCAUUGGUAGAUACUAACAAACCGCCAAAAAUACUCGAAUCCAGCCAAUAAAAGAUGGCCAUUUAAUGACCAAAGGCCAAUAUCCGUUCAAGAUGGCCGACAAAACUAUACCUAUUUUUGUUCCAUCCGAAAAGCCUGUAAAAGUGAUAAAGUGGAAAGUAAAACAAGGUGCUUUUGUCUCGCAAGGUCAGAUUUUAUUUUUAUACAAUGAUUCGUCAGGCAGCAACACGGAUUUGAAAAAAUACAAAGCGGCGCGUGCUGGUACCCUAUCGUCGAUCAAGGUGAAGGAAGGAGACAUUUCAGAGCCUGGAUCCAUAGUAGCUGAGUUAGAAGCAUGUCUGCAUUCUACUGUGAUGAAGGAGAUGUGUGCAGAAUGUGGGGCAGAUCUGCGGAGCGACGACGGCCCCAAUCGAGACGUGGCUGUAGUACCCAUGGUUCACUCAAUACCUGAACUGAAGGUUUCUGAAGAAUUGGCUCAAAAACUUGGCCGUGAAGAUGCUGAACGCCUACUUAAGGACAAGAAACUAGUGCUGCUUGUUGAUUUGGAUCAGACGUUGGUGCACACCACCAAUGAUAAUGUUCCACCAAACUUGAAGGGUGUCCUACAUUUUUUCUUACGAGGGCCUGGCAGCCCUGGUCGCUGGUGUCACACCAGACUAAGGCCAGGUACAAAGGAAUUCCUGGAGUCUGCGGCUAAAAACUACGAACUCCAUGUGUGCACAUUCGGUGCAAGACAGUAUGCUCAUGCUGUUGCAGACCUUCUGGACCCUGAGAAAAAGUUCUUUUCUCAUAGAAUAUUGUCAAGGGACGAAUGCUUUGAUGCUAGAACAAAAGCUGCUAAUUUAAAAGCGCUGUUUCCAUGCGGCGACAACAUGGUCUGCAUAAUUGACGACAGAGAAGACGUGUGGCGCCACGCCACCAACCUCAUACACGUGCGGCCCUACUCUUUCUUCCAGUCCACGGGCGAUAUCAACGCGCCACCGCCUUUACCAGAAGAGAAAUCGAAACUCCCUAGUGGUAAAAACGGCGCACAAGCAUCAACCGCGAACCUACCCACCUUAGACGAAGAAACGGAACAAAAAGAUAGUGAAAAAGAUAAAACAAAAGAUAGUGAAACCAGUGAGGACAAAUCUGUUCCUGAAACCAGUGAGAAAGAAAGUGAAAAGGGAACAGAAAAAGAAGAAAAGGCCAGUGAAGAAGAGAAAAUGGAAGAAAGUUCAGAGCCUCAGUGGGUUGAGACUUCAGAUGGGCAGAUAGAAGUUGAAGAUCCGGACGAUUACUUAAUUUAUUUAGAUGAUAUACUUAAAAGAAUACACAAACAUUUCUACGACCUCUACGAGGAAGCAAAGAGCAAUCAGAUACCGGACCUAAAAUGCAUCAUACCCGAAGUAAAGAGCCAAGUGCUGGCCGGUGCUAGCUUGGUGUUCAGUGGGCUUGUGCCGACGCACCAGCGGCUGGAGACCUCGCGGGCUUAUCAAGUGGCCAGGAGUUUAGGGGCUGAGGUCACGCAGGACUACACGGAGAAUACCACGCAUCUGGUGGCUGUGAGAGCAGGAACAGCAAAAGUGAACGCGAGCCGGCGCUCUCACCGGGCGACGAAGCUGCACGUGGUGACGCCGGCCUGGCUGUGGGCGUGCGCCGAGCGCUGGGAGCACGUCGACGAGCGGCUGUUCCCGCUGCAGCGCGCCGCGCAGGUACCGUGCCGGCGCCGGCUCCGGCCGACUGCACGCGAGCCGGCGCUCCCACCGGCCGGCGGAGCACGUGGGGACGCCGGCCUGGCUGUGGGCGUGCGCCGAGCGCUGGGAGCACGUCGACGAGCGGCUGUUCCCGCUGCAGCGCGCCGCGCAGAGCAGCUCGCGGCGCCCGCCCGCGCACUGCAGCAGCCCGCCGCCGCCCGCGCCGCGACGCCGCACGCCCUCCGGCCGCUUCAUGGACACCCUCAACCCGCUGCUGUCCUUCUCCAGCGACGACAUCGCCGACAUGGACCGCGAGGUGAGCCCGCGCCGACGACACUCAGGCUGGGGACAUGUAGUCAGACGCCGCACGCCCUCCGGCCGCUUCAUGGACACCCUCAACCCGCUGCUGUCCUUCUCCAGCGACGACAUCGCCGACAUGGACCGCGAGGUUGAAGAUAUUUUUAAUGAAUCAGAUGAGAGUUCUUCAGAUGAGGAAACGAAAAAUCGAGGGGAUGACCUAGAUGACGAAGAAAAUCCACCAGAGGACAGACUAAUAUCUGUUGAAAAUGAAGACACAGAAGACAGAUUACUAAACAAAGGAGAUGAUGACG
Molecule: RNA transcript, 2304 nt
Organism: Ostrinia furnacalis (Asian corn borer)
Lineage: Eukaryota; Metazoa; Arthropoda; Insecta; Lepidoptera; Crambidae
Gene: Fcp1
Gene name: RNA polymerase II subunit A C-terminal domain phosphatase Fcp1
Exons: 11
Source: RefSeq, a predicted model, not a curated record